This 253-nucleotide ribosomal RNA is filed under the name uncultured bacterium. RNAcentral's name for it is "partial 16S ribosomal RNA". It matches the Rfam family "Bacterial small subunit ribosomal RNA", at positions 524 to 776 of the family's 1533-position model. The record is from RNAcentral.
UACGUAGGUGGCGAGCGUUGUCCGGAUUUACUGGGCGUAAAGAGCGCGCAGGCGGCUGGUCAAGUCCGAUGUGAAAGCUCCCGGCUUAACUGGGAAAUUGCAUCGGAAACUGAUCGGCUGGAAGGUGGGAGAGGGUAGCGGAAUUCCCGGUGUAGUGGUGAAAUGCGUAGAUAUCGGGAGGAACACCCGUAGCGAAGGCGGCCGACUGGACCACACCUGACGCUGAGGAGCGAAAGCGUGGGGAGCGAACAGG